GUGCCAGCAGCCGCGGUAAUACCGGCAGUCCAAGUGAUGGCCGAUAUUAUUGGGCCUAAAGCGUCCGUAGCUUGCUGUGUAAGUCCAUUGGGAAAUCGACGCGCUCAACGCGUCGACGUCCGGUGGAAACUGCAGAGCUUGGGGCCGAGAGACUCGACGGGUACGUCCGGGGUAGGAGUGAAAUCCUGUAAUCCUGGACGGACCACCAAUGGGGAAACCACGUCGAGAGACCGGACCCGACAGUGAGGGACGAAAGCUGGGAUCUCGAACCGGAUUAGAAACCCCUGUAGUCC
RNAcentral lists this ribosomal RNA (293 nucleotides) under uncultured bacterium. Its description in RNAcentral is "partial 16S ribosomal RNA". It matches the Rfam family "Archaeal small subunit ribosomal RNA", at positions 455 to 747 of the family's 1478-position model. The record is from RNAcentral.